CGCCCGCGUACUCACACGAAGGCGUGAUAGAGCAGCGCCCAGCCGCGGGGUCGCUCCAGGGCGUCGUAGAUCAAAGUUUGGAUGCGGCGUUUCUUGGCUGCAAGGAAGAUGGGAAGAGACAGCUUUUGCGUGCCCUGCAACCUUGGUGCCCUGGGAUUUCUGCCACAACGCACUAGAAGCAUCCCCUCUCCUCUUAGAGCUGCUCUUGAGUAAAAAUCUGCCUGCAGGGCUAAGCAUUCACGUAGCUACACCUUGGGAGGAUACAAAGGGUCUAACCGAGCCUUUCUUUCUUGACAGAUAAUAAUAAUAAAAUUUU
Molecule: long non-coding RNA, 316 nt
Organism: Aquila chrysaetos chrysaetos
Lineage: Eukaryota; Metazoa; Chordata; Aves; Accipitriformes; Accipitridae
Exons: 2
Source: RefSeq, a predicted model, not a curated record